Molecule: ribosomal RNA, 429 nt
Filed under: Actinomycetes bacterium
Lineage: Bacteria; Bacillati; Actinomycetota; Actinomycetes
Description: Actinobacteria bacterium partial 16S ribosomal RNA
Rfam family: Bacterial small subunit ribosomal RNA
Source: RNAcentral
UAGGGAAUCUUCCGCAAUGGGCGAAAGCCUGACGGAGCAACGCCGCGUGAGUGAUGACGGUCUUCGGAUCGUAAAACUCUGUUAUUAGGGAAGAACAAAUGUGUAAGUAACUAUGCACGUCUUGACGGUACCUAAUCAGAAAGCCACGGCUAACUACGUGCCAGCAGCCGCGGUAAUACGUAGGUGGCAAGCGUUAUCCGGAAUUAUUGGGCGUAAAGCGCGCGUAGGCGGUUUUUUAAGUCUGAUGUGAAAGCCCACGGCUCAAGCGUGGAGGGUCAGUGGAAACUGGAAAACUUGUGUGCAGAAGAGGAAAGUGGAAUUCCAUGUGUGGCGGUGAAAUGCGCAGUGAUAUGGAGGAACACCAGUGGCGAAGGCGACUUUCUAGUCUGUAACUGACGCUGAUGUGCGGAAGCGUGGGGAUCAAACAGG